UAUUCAUUUCGAGAUUUGCAUUCAACUGCAUUAAUAUGAUGGAUUUAUUCCAUGAUUCUUAGUGCUUAAGUCUCUGAUGAUU
Cannabis sativa is the source of this 82-nucleotide small nucleolar RNA. RefSeq annotates it as small nucleolar RNA Z199. The record is from RefSeq and is a predicted model, not a curated record. The transcript has a single exon. NCBI's taxonomy places the organism in Eukaryota, Viridiplantae, Streptophyta, Magnoliopsida, Rosales, Cannabaceae.